Molecule: unclassified non-coding RNA, 380 nt
Filed under: soil metagenome
Description: partial contains 5.8S ribosomal RNA, internal transcribed spacer 2, and large subunit ribosomal RNA
Rfam family: 5.8S ribosomal RNA (bases 1-120)
Source: RNAcentral
GAUGAAGAACGUAGCGAAAUGCGAUAAGUGAUGUGAAUUGCAGAAUUCAGUGAAUCAUCGAAUCUUUGAACGCACCUUGCACCCUUUGGCAUUCCGAAGGGUAUGCUCGUUUGAGUGUCAUUGUACUCUCACUCUCCCGAUCUUUGGAUCGGGAGUGGUGGACUUGGGUGUUGCUGCUUUACCGUGGCUCACCUCAAAUGGAUUCGUGCAACUCCUGGUUGGACAUAGUACGGCGUGAUAAGUGUCUUCGCCGGCACCUCACUAGAGGGUGGCUGACCGGGAGCUCUGUGCUUCAAACCGUCUUCGGACAACAACUGACAACUUGACCUCAAAUCGAGUAGGACCACCCGCUGAACUUAAGCAUAUCAAUAAGCGGAGGA